This 292-nucleotide ribosomal RNA is filed under the name uncultured bacterium. Its description in RNAcentral is "partial 16S ribosomal RNA". RNAcentral also lists the same sequence under 2 other names. The record is from RNAcentral.
GGACUACCGGGGUAUCUAAUCCCGUUUGCUCCCCUGGCUUUCGCGCCUCAGCGUCAGAAGAGGUCCAGCGGGUCGCUUUCGCCACCGGCGUUCCUUCCGAUAUCAACGCAUUUCACCGCUCCACCGGAAGUUCCACCCGCCCCUACCUCACUCGAGACUGCCAGUAUCCAAGGCUAUUUUCCGGUUGAGCCGAAAGAUUUCACCCCGGACUUGGCAGCCCGCCUACGCGCCCUUUAAGCCCAGUGAUUCCGAACAACGUUAGGACGGUUCGUCUUACCGCGGCUGCUGGCAC